Long non-coding RNA from Oncorhynchus tshawytscha (Chinook salmon), 474 nucleotides. NCBI's taxonomy places the organism in Eukaryota, Metazoa, Chordata, Actinopteri, Salmoniformes, Salmonidae. The record is from Ensembl.
GUCAGAACCACAGGGAGUCAGUUAGCAGGUCAGAGCCACAGGAGUCAGUUAGCAGGUUGGAACCACAGGGAGACAGUUAGCAGGUUGGAGACACAGGGGAGAGGGUUAGCAGGUUGGAGCCACAGGGAGUCAGUUAGCAGGUCGGAGCCACAGGGAGACAGUUAGCAGGUCAGAGCCACAGGGAGUCAGUUAGCAGGUUGGAGACACAGGGAGUCAGUUAGCAGGUCGGAGCAGCAGGGAGACAGUUAGCAGGUCAGAGCCACAGGGAGUCAGUUAGCAGGUCAGAGCCACAGGGAGUCAGUUAGCAGGUCGGAGUCAGAGGGAAACAGUUAGCAGGUCGGAGCCACAGGGAGUCAGUUAGCAGGUCAGAGCCACAGGGAGCCAGUUAGCAGGUCAGAUCCACAGGGACCCAGUUAACAGGUCAGAGCCACAGGGAGCCAGUUAGCAGGUCAGAGCCACAGGGAGACAGUUAGC